GAUGAACGCUGGCGGCGUGCCUAAUACAUGCAAGUCGAGCGAACAGACGAGGAGCUUGCUCCUCUGACGUUAGCGGCGGACGGGUGAGUAACAAGUGGAUAACCUACCUAUAAGACUGGGAUAACUUCGGGAAACCGGAGCUAAUAACGGAUAAUAUAUUGAACCGCAUGGUUCAAUAGUGAAAGACGGUUUUGCUGUCACUUGUAGAUGGAUCCACGCCGCAUUAGCUAGUUGGUAAGGUAACGGCUUACCAAGGCAACGAUGCGUAGCCGACCUGAGAGGGUGGUCGGCCACACUGGAACUGAGACACGGCCCAGACUCCUACUGGAGGCAGCAGUAGGGAAUCUUCCUCAAUGGGCGAAAGCCUGACGGAGCAACGCCGCGUGAGUGAUGAAGGUCUUCGUAUCGUAAAACUCUUUUAUUAGGGAAGAACAAAUGUGUAAGUAACUAUGCACGUCUUGACGGUACCUAAUCAGAAAGCCACGGCUAACUACGUG
This 497-nucleotide ribosomal RNA is filed under the name uncultured bacterium. Its description in RNAcentral is "partial 16S ribosomal RNA". It matches the Rfam family "Bacterial small subunit ribosomal RNA", at positions 28 to 507 of the family's 1533-position model. The record is from RNAcentral.